GCUGCUACCAGCUAAGACGCUGUUAUCCAGAAUGUCCGUGUACCCAUGUGUGGGGUGGAUGUGAAACCAAGCUGCCCUCUGGGAAGGAGAUUGUCAGCUGUUAGGAGGAAAGAAAAUGUGAAGAGCAAAUUGAUGAUAGCUGCUGACAUCUUUGCAGGGCAGACCAUGACAUCAGUCUCCAGAGCAAUAGGAGGUGGCAGGCAUCCUGAGAAGAUCUGUGCUUUCAAGGAUUUGUCUAUUGCCAGGAAGGCUGAGUUUGCCGAGUGGCUGGGUCUGAUGCACUAUAUGGAAGUUCUAAUGCUGAUCACAGUUACUGAACAUGUCCCACCAACGUCAGAUGAAAAUGUCACUGUAACAGACACAGAGUUCAGUAAUGUUCCAGUUCGUUUAUAUUUGCCCAGAAAGCAGCUGAGUGGAUUGAAAAGGGCCAUACUUUACUUUCAUGGUGGAGGAUGGUGUGUAGGAGAGGCAGGCAUGAAACCCUAUGACCUUCUGUCAAGAUGGACUUCAAACCAGUUAAAUGCUGUUGUGGUAUCAGUCAAUUACAGGCUGGCGCCUAAAUACCAUUUUCCAGUUCAGUUUGAAGAUGUGUAUGCGGUAACAAAAUUCUUCCUCCAAAGCAGUGUCCUCUCGCAAUAUGGGGUGGACCCAAAUCGGAUCUGUGUUGCUGGAGACAGUGCAGGUGGCAACUUAGCUGCAGCUGUGGCACAACAGUUGUUAGAUGACCCUGAAGUCAAAACUAAACUUAAAGUCCAAGCUUUGCUUUAUCCUGCUCUUCAAACCCUUGACCUGAAUUUGCCAUCUUACCAAGAAAAUGAAAACAAGCUGAUUCUACCCAAGUCACUUAUGGUCAGGUUCUGGAGUGAAUAUUUCACUACUGAUUCCUCUCUUAGAGAAGCAAUGGCCUCCAACAGGCAUGUUCCAGCUGAAGCAAGCCACUUAUUUCAGUUUGUAAACUGGAGUAAUUUACUGCCUGAAGAGCUAAAAAAAGAUCAUGUUUAUACCAGUCCCGUUUAUGGAAGCUCCAACCUUGGGAAGAAGUAUCCAGGGUUUCUGGAUCCAAGAGCGGCACCUCUGCUGGCAGAAGAUGCCAAGUUACACAGCUUGCCUCUGACGUAUGUUCUCACGUGUGAACAUGAUGUCUUGAGAGAUGAUGGGAUUAUGUAUGUCUCGCGCCUUAGGGAAGCAGGAGUUAAAGUAACACACAAUCAUGCUGAGGAUGCGUUUCAUGGGGCUUUAGCAUUUAUUUCAAGCCCAGCCAACUUAGCUGUAGGACACAGGUUGUUAAAUCACUAUAUUAACUGGUUAAAUGACAACCUAUAA
Molecule: long non-coding RNA, 1323 nt
Organism: Struthio camelus australis
Lineage: Eukaryota; Metazoa; Chordata; Aves; Struthioniformes; Struthionidae
Product: arylacetamide deacetylase
Source: Ensembl